GUAAAUUUAACUUUAAGCUAAAUUUACUCAGUGAUCAAUUGAUAUUAUUUUUUAUAUUCUUAUUUUUACUAUAAUAGCCUAAUAUCACGUCCUCGAGUAUCGAACAUGUCUCCCUCUCAGUCAUGCUGUAUUUUGUGAACUUUUCCUUUUUUUUUUUAUGUUGCAGAUAUGGCGAGUCGUGGUGCCGCCUGGUUGACCUGGCGAGACGAUCAUCUGUGCGACAAGAUCGACAAGAGAGAUCGUUAAAUUUGAUCUCAAGAUUAGAAAGAGUUUGUGCUGCUUGCUGGAGGUCAGCUGAAAGAGAAGUGCGACGUCAUGAUGAACAAGACUCAAGUGAAUCUAAUUUAAAUGUUUGUGUGAUCAUGUUCACAUUUUGAAAAAUGCAGCCCUUUGUGUUUCUGCCCA
This is a long non-coding RNA of Aricia agestis (brown argus), 405 nucleotides long. RefSeq lists it as uncharacterized. The record is from RefSeq and is a predicted model, not a curated record. The transcript has 2 exons. Lineage: Eukaryota; Metazoa; Arthropoda; Insecta; Lepidoptera; Lycaenidae.